CCCACACCGUUACCCAGCCAGCAGGGCACUGAGCGGUGGUGGGGUGGGGGCUGGUACUUGGGGGGCUGGACCUCUGACCCCCCCACACACCAUUACCCAGCCAGCAGGGCACUGAGCAGCCGGCGGGGCUGGUACUUUAGGGGACGGACCUGACCUCCCCCCACACCGUUACCCAGCCAGCAGGGCACUGAGCGCAGCCGGCGGGGCUGGUACUUUAGGGGACGGACCUGACCUCCCCCCACACCGUUACCCAGCCAGCAGGGCACUGAGCGGCCGGGGGGGCUGGUACUUGGGGGGCUGUAGCCCUGACCCCCCCCACCUUUACCCAGCCGGCAGGGCGCUGAGCGGUAGGGAUGGUGAUUGGUACUUGGGGGAACGGAGCCCUGACCCCCAUCUCCUCCCAGGGCCCCCCCCCCCCCACUGAGCAGCGUACUGGGCAGCCAUGGUGCUGAGCGGUGAGGGGGGGGAGAUGGGGGAUUGGUACUUAGGGGGCCGAAGCCUUGACCCCCAUCUCCCCCCAGGACCCCCCCCCCACUCGGUGGCAUACCAGGCUCCCACGGCACUGAGAUGUGGGGGAGGAGCAGUGGGGGCUGUUGGGAGCCCUGACCCCCCCAUCUCC
Gopherus flavomarginatus (Mexican gopher tortoise) is the source of this 619-nucleotide long non-coding RNA. RefSeq lists it as uncharacterized. The record is from RefSeq and is a predicted model, not a curated record. NCBI's taxonomy places the organism in Eukaryota, Metazoa, Chordata, Testudines, Testudinidae. The transcript is spliced from 3 exons.